GAUGAACGCUGGCGGCGUGCCUAAUACAUGCAAGUCGAGCGAACAGACGAGGAGCUUGCUCCUCUGACGUUAGCGGCGGACGGGUGAGUAACACGUGGAUAACCUACCUAUAAGACUGGGAUAACUUCGGGAAACCGGAGCUAAUACCGGAUAAUAUAUUGUACCGCAUGGUUCAAUAGUGAAAGACGGUUUUGCUGUCUCUUAUAGAUGGAUCCGCGCCGCAUUAGCUAGUUGGUAAGGUAACGGCUUACCAAGGCGACGAUGCGUAGCCGACCUGAGAGGGUGAUCGGCCACACUGGAACUGAGACACGGUCCAGACUCCUACGGGAGGCAGCAGUAGGGAAUCUUCCGCAAUGGGCGAAAGCCUGACGGAGCAACGCCGCGUGAGUGAUGAAGGUCUUCGGAUCGUAAAACUCUGUUAUUAGGGAAGAACAAAUGUGUAAGUAACUAUGCACGUCUUGACGGUACCUAAUCAGAAAGCCACGGCUAACUACGUG
Molecule: ribosomal RNA, 497 nt
Filed under: uncultured bacterium
Lineage: Bacteria
Description: partial 16S ribosomal RNA
Rfam family: Bacterial small subunit ribosomal RNA
Source: RNAcentral